CCUACGGGAGGCAGCAGUGGGGAAUAUUGCACAAUGGGGGAAACCCUGAUGCAGCGACGCCGCGUGAGUGAAGAAGUAUUUCGGUACGUAAAGCUGUAUCAGCAGGGAAGAAAAUGACGGUACCUGACUAAGAAGCCCAGGCUAACUACGUGCCAGCAGCCGCGGUAAUACGCAGGGGUCAAGCGAUAUCCGGAUUUACUGGGUGUAAAGGGGGCGUAGGCGGCAGCGCAAGUCUGGAGUGAAAUCCCAUGGCUUAACCAUGGAACUGCUUUGGAGACUGUGCAGCUAGAGUGCAGGAGAGGUAAGCGGAAUUCCUGGUGUAGCGGUGAAAUGCGUAGAUAUUAGGAGGAACACCAAUGGCGAAGGCGGCUUACUGGACUGUAACUGACGUUGAGGCUCGAAAGCGUGGGGAGCAAACAGGAUUAGAUACCCCGGUAGUC
Molecule: ribosomal RNA, 440 nt
Filed under: uncultured bacterium
Lineage: Bacteria
Description: partial 16S ribosomal RNA
Rfam family: Bacterial small subunit ribosomal RNA
Source: RNAcentral